CAACAUUUUAAAAUUAAAAAACCUCCUCCACCUUUUUCUUUCAAGUAGUUGCAGGUAAAAUCAUGGCUUUGCUUUUAAAAAGGUUACUAUAAACAUUUGAUUCUCCAUAUAGAAUCGAUUCUGGCUGUUUAAAUGGUGAAACAUGAACUCUGAACAUUUACUUUUAUUUGUGAAGCGCUCGAUCUCUAGCCUGUUAAUGAUUACAGUCAUUCGCUUCAUAUAAUGUUAGGAUAUACAGUAGAGCAGGGCAAACUUCAAGAGCAGUAAAGUUAUUUUAGGUUCAACAUUCGCUUAUGGUGUGUAAGGGACUGUCUGAAAACUCCACACACAGUGCAAAAACAAUAGCAAUGUCCAACCAUUCAUUCAAAUGACUUGUAAGUUUUAACAUACAAAAUGGCUGCAAGAGGACUUUACCGGGAUUCAAGCACCAAAGGCUCAUGUAGACGAUACGAGUGACGAUGCAUAUGAUAACGGAGGCCUGACAACUGUAUGAAGCUCUUCCCACACUGAUGGCAUGUGUGCGGCUUCUCUCCAGUGUGAAUCCUCAUGUGUUUGUCCAGGUGGACUUUCUCUUUGAAUCCAUAUCCACACUGAGCGCAUGUGAACGGUCUUUCUUCAGAGUGACUUUUCAGAUGCUUUCUGAGGUGUUCACGUGUAGUGAAGGUCUUGCCACACUCCACACAAGCAUGAGUUUUCACAGAAGAAUGGAUCUUCUGGUGCUUUUUGCAAUUGGCCAGCCGUGAAAAACUCUUUCCACACACUGGACACAAGUACGGCCUCUCGACUGCGUGAACUGUCAGGUGUUUGUUGAGAUAUGACGAGGAUCUAAACUUCUUGCCACACUGAUCACAGCUGAAUGGAUUUUCAUGACAGCGCAGAUGACGACUGAGAUGAAUCUUCUGUGAAAAACUCUUUCCACACUGUUGACAUGCGUGAGGUUUCUCUCCAGUGUGUAUUCUCAUGUGUCUGUUAAGGUGGCUUUUGAGCAUGAAACUCUUUCCACACUGAAGACACGUGUGAAGCUUCUCGCCAGUAUGAAUUAGCUGGUGCUUUUUAAAGCUUCCUUUUAGUGUGAAACUCUUUCCACACUCAGGGCAAGUGAAAGACUUGUUGGUCUUUGCAGUUCUUCUGUUUUUUGAUAAAUUCUUUUUUGCAACAUCA
Molecule: long non-coding RNA, 1161 nt
Organism: Ctenopharyngodon idella (grass carp)
Lineage: Eukaryota; Metazoa; Chordata; Actinopteri; Cypriniformes; Xenocyprididae
Exons: 2
Source: RefSeq, a predicted model, not a curated record